GACGAACGCUGGCGGCGUGCCUAAUACAUGCAAGUCGAACGAGAGCGACCGGUGCUUGCACUGGUCAAUCUAGUGGCGAACGGGUGAGUAACACGUGGGUAACCUGCCCAUCAGAGGGGGAUAACAUUCGGAAACGGAUGCUAAAACCGCAUAGGUCUUCGAACCGCAUGGUUUGAGGAGGAAAAGAGGCGCAAGCUUCUGCUGAUGGAUGGACCCGCGGUGCAUUAGCUAGUUGGUGAGGUAACGGCUCACCAAGGCCGUGAUGCAUAGCCGACCUGAGAGGGUGAUCGGCCACAUUGGGACUGAGACACGGCCCAAACUCCUACGGGAGGCAGCAGUAGGGAAUCUUCCGCAAAGGACGCAAGUCUGACGGAGCAACGCCGCGUGAGUGAAGAAGGUUUUCGGAUCGUAAAACUCUGUUGUUAGAGAAGAACAAGUGCUAGAGUAACUGUUAGCGCCUUGACGGUAUCUAACCAGAAAGCCACGGCUAACUACGUG
Molecule: ribosomal RNA, 498 nt
Filed under: uncultured bacterium
Lineage: Bacteria
Description: partial 16S ribosomal RNA
Rfam family: Bacterial small subunit ribosomal RNA
Source: RNAcentral